UUAAGCAUAGUUUAACUAAAACAUUAUAUUUUCACUAUAAAAAAAAUAAUUUUAUUUGUUUAUUUAAA
Molecule: transfer RNA, 68 nt
Filed under: Myrmica scabrinodis
Lineage: Eukaryota; Metazoa; Arthropoda; Insecta; Hymenoptera; Formicidae
Description: transfer RNA-Glu
Source: RNAcentral